Long non-coding RNA from Carassius gibelio (silver crucian carp), 1075 nucleotides. RefSeq lists it as uncharacterized. Lineage: Eukaryota; Metazoa; Chordata; Actinopteri; Cypriniformes; Cyprinidae. The record is from RefSeq and is a predicted model, not a curated record. The transcript is spliced from 3 exons.
GCUUCCGCCCGGACCGGAAAAACAGAACACCGGAACUUCCGGUAGCGCCGUAAGAGGGAAAAUCAGGGAAUUCGAUGCACCUGUGCCUAGUUAGGGACAGCGGUUGGUGAUUGGAGGAUACGCUGGACAAGGCAGUACUUAAGGCCAAGUUAUUUCACAGUCUGGGAGCUCUUUCUGGCUGGAAUUGUAUGAUUGUGAAGACAUCGCGAACCUUAAAGGUGGAGAAGUGAACGGAUUAUACGGCGAAUUGAGACGACGUGGAAAAGGGGAUUGGAAGCGGCAUUGAUGUGAGUACUAAGAGCAAGCCGAAAGUGCCCUGUAUAUUGACCUGGCGUUGUGUAGAUCUCUCCAGGAGGAGGAGGGUGGCCCUACCCCUAAUAUAGCGUGGUGGGAGAGCCGAAGGAAUACUUAUUGAAGUAGUCACAACGACGACAUCACUAGCUAGGCCGCAUAUUCCAUCGCCAGAUCCGAACCAAGCGAAGUGAAGGAAGACGGGUGUCCUUUUCGUACACUGAGUGUGGUGGGUGAGUCUUCGUGCUGUGAAAACCUAUAAUUUUGACGUGGUGCUGUAUAUUGCUGUGGGGUGCCUGUGUAUUGCCGUGUGUCCUGUCAGAUAAACCCCCGCCUUCACGCACUUCGUCGCGGGAGGACAAGGAGACUGCUGGUUCUAGCCUAGUUCAGUACAGUAUAUGUUGUGAGCGUGCUUCAGAUCUCGGGAGAUAGCACGGUACGCUGUGUCCAGCCCAGAGGUGAGAGCCAUCCAAAGCAGAGUAACUGUGCUUUGUGUCCAAGUUGAUACCUGUGGAGAGGAAAGGAAAGAGAGAGUGAGUAACACAAGGAGAAACAGAGGAAACCUGUACUUACAGUACGCUGUGUUCAGCCCAGAGGUGAGAGCCAUUCAAAGCAAACUAACUGUGCUAUUGUGCCCAAGUUGAUACCUGUGGAGAGAAAAGGAGAGAGAGUGGGUAACACGAGGAGAGACCGAGGAAACCUGUACUUACGCUGCUGCCUGUGGAGAAAGAGAAAGCGAGUGAGCACCCAAGGAACGAACUGUGUGGACCAGUACUUACUGUGA